CCCGCUGAACUUAAGCAUAUCAAUAAGCGGAGGAAAAGAAACCAACAGGGAUUGCCUUAGUAACGGCGAGUGAAGCGGCAACAGCUCAAAUUUGAAAUCUGGCUUCUGCGAAGUCCGAGUUGUUAUUUGUUGAGGAUGUUUUGGUUCGGACUCUGGUUUCAGUUCCUUGGGACAGGGCGUUAUAGAGGGUGAGAACCCCGUAUGUGGGUGGAAGGUGGCACCCAUGUGAAAGUCCUUUGGCGAGUUGAGUUGUUUGGGAAUGCAACUUAUAAUGGGUGGUUAAUUUCAUUUAAAACUAAAUUCUGGCCAGAGGCCGAUAGCGCCCCAGUAGAGUGAUUGAAAGAUGAAAAGUCCUUUGGAAAGAGAGUUUAACAGUAUGUGAAAUUGUUGAAAGGGAAGGGCUUGCAGCCAGACUUGCUUGCAGCUGAUCAUCUGGUGUUCUCGGCCAGUGCACUCAGUUGUGAUCAGGCCAGCAUCAGUUUGGGCGGUUGGAUAAAGGCCUUGGGAAUGUAGCUUCUUUCGAGGAGUGUUAUAGCCCUUGGUGCAAUGCAGUCCAGCCUCGGGACUCAAGGCCCCCCCUCUGCUAGGAUGCUGGCGUAAUGGCUGUAAGCGACCCGUCUUGAAACACGG
Molecule: ribosomal RNA, 630 nt
Filed under: uncultured fungus
Lineage: Eukaryota; Fungi
Description: eukaryotic LSU rRNA
Rfam family: Eukaryotic large subunit ribosomal RNA
Source: RNAcentral